Molecule: ribosomal RNA, 562 nt
Filed under: uncultured Glomeromycotina
Lineage: Eukaryota; Fungi; Glomeromycota
Description: SSU rRNA
Rfam family: Eukaryotic small subunit ribosomal RNA
Source: RNAcentral
UUGGAGGGCAAGUCUGGUGCCAGCAGCCGCGGUAAUUCCAGCUCCAAUAGCGUAUAUUAAAGUUGUUGCAGUUAAAAAGCUCGUAGUUGAAUUUCGAGAUCAAUUUGUCGGUCGUGCCUCGGUACGUACUGGCAUUAUUGAUUUCUCCCUUCUGAAGAACCGCGAUGUCAUUAAUUUGGUGUCGUGGGGAAUCAGGACUGUUACUUUGAAAAAAUUAGAGUGUUUAAAGCAGGCGCACGCUUGAAUACAUUAGCAUGGAAUAAUGAAAUAGGACAUUUGAUUCUAUUUUGUUGGUUUCUAGGAUCGACGUAAUGAUUAAUAGGGAUAGUUGGGGGCAUUAGUAUUCAAUUGUCAGAGGUGAAAUUCUUGGAUUUAUUGAAGACUAACUACUGCGAGCAUUUGCCAAGGAUGUUUUCAUUAAUCAAGAACGAAAGUUAGGGGAUCGAAGACGAUCAGAUACCGUCGUAGUCUUAACCAUAAACUAUGCCGACUAGGGAUCGGAUGAUGUUAAUUUUUUAAUGACUCAUUCGGCGCCUUACGGGAAACCAAAGUGUUUGGGUUC